UGCAAGUCGAGCGGACAGAAGGGAGCUUGCUCCCGGAUGUUAGCGGCGGACGGGUGAGUAACACGUGGGUAACCUGCCUGUAAGACUGGGAUAACUCCGGGAAACCGGAGCUAAUACCGGAUAGUUCCUUGAACCGCAUGGUUCAAGGAUGAAAGACGGUUUCGGCUGUCACUUACAGAUGGACCCGCGGCGCAUUAGCUAGUUGGUGGGGUAAUGGCUCACCAAGGCGACGAUGCGUAGCCGACCUGAGAGGGUGAUCGGCCACACUGGGACUGAGACACGGCCCAGACUCCUACGGGAGGCAGCAGUAGGGAAUCUUCCGCAAUGGACGAAAGUCUGACGGAGCAACGCCGCGUGAGUGAUGAAGGUUUUCGGAUCGUAAAGCUCUGUUGUUAGGGAAGAACAAGUGCGAGAGUAACUGCUCGCACCUUGACGGUACCUAACCAGAAAGCCACGGCUAACUACGUGCCAGCAGCCGCGGUAAUACGUAGGUGGCAAGCGUUGUCCGGAAUUAUUGGGCGUAAAGGGCUCGCAGGCGGUUUCUUAAGUCUGAUGUGAAAGCCCCCGGCUCAACCGGGGAGGGUCAUUGGAAACUGGGAAACUUGAGUGCAGAAGAGGAGAGUGGAAUUCCACGUGUAGCGGUGAAAUGCGUAGAGAUGUGGAGGAACACCAGUGGCGAAGGCGACUCUCUGGUCUGUAACUGACGCUGAGGAGCGAAAGCGUGGGGAGCGAACAGGAUUAGAUACCCUGGUAGUCCACGCCGUAAACGAUGAGUGCUAAGUGUUAGGGGGUUUCCGCCCCUUAGUGCUGCAGCUAACGCAUUAAGCACUCCGCCUGGGGAGUACGGUCGCAAGACUGAAACUCAAAGGAAUUGACGGGGGCCCGCACAAGCGGUGGAGCAUGUGGUUUAAUUCGAAGCAACGCGAAGAACCUUACCAGGUCUUGACAUCCUCUGACAACCCUAGAGAUAGGGCUUUCCCUUCGGGGACAGAGUGACAGGUGGUGCAUGGUUGUCGUCAGCUCGUGUCGUGAGAUGUUGGGUUAAGUCCCGCAACGAGCGCAACCCUUGAUCUUAGUUGCCAGCAUUUAGUUGGGCACUCUAAGGUGACUGCCGGUGACAAACCGGAGGAAGGUGGGGAUGACGUCAAAUCAUCAUGCCCCUUAUGACCUGGGCUACACACGUGCUACAAUGGACAGAACAAAGGGCUGCAAGACCGCAAGGUUUAGCCAAUCCCAUAAAUCUGUUCUCAGUUCGGAUCGCAGUCUGCAACUCGACUGCGUGAAGCUGGAAUCGCUAGUAAUCGCGGAUCAGC
This 1313-nucleotide ribosomal RNA is filed under the name Bacillus sp. LC346. Its description in RNAcentral is "bacterial SSU rRNA". It matches the Rfam family "Bacterial small subunit ribosomal RNA", at positions 56 to 1353 of the family's 1533-position model. Lineage: Bacteria; Bacillati; Bacillota; Bacilli; Caryophanales; Bacillaceae. The record is from RNAcentral.